GACAGAGGAUGCAAGCGUUAUCCGGAAUGAUUGGGCGUAAAGAGUUGCGUAGGUGGUUUGUUAAGCGAAUAGUGAAAUCUUGUGGCUCAACCAUAAGGCUAUUAUUCGAACUGGCAAACUCGAGAAUGGGAGAGGUAAUUGGAAUUCCUAGUGUAGGAGUGAAAUCCGUAGAUAUUAGGAGGAACACCAAUGGCGUAGGCAGAUUACUGGCCCAUUUCUGACACUGAGGCACGAAAGCGUGGGGAGCGAACCGG
This 254-nucleotide ribosomal RNA is filed under the name uncultured bacterium. RNAcentral describes it as "partial 16S ribosomal RNA". It matches the Rfam family "Bacterial small subunit ribosomal RNA", at positions 524 to 776 of the family's 1533-position model. The record is from RNAcentral.